AAUUCGGAACAGUUGCUGACGUAAUGGAACGUGAAAUGAAAGUCACGUGACCUCCUCUGUUUGAUCAGAGCUCGGAAUAACGUUUCGAAAAAGAAGUUCCACUGAAGUUUCGAAACAUUCCGGAACACGAGCUCGAUCUUGCCAUUACUGUAAUGGUUAUUAAAGUAUUCUACAGAUCUUCUCUCCAUCUUGCCAUCUUGUCCUGCAUCUGGGUCAUCCUGAUGCACCGUGACAAAAAAUUGGGGUGAGGACGGGGGAAUUUGGAGAAGGCAGAAUCACUGCCUUUUGCAGUUGUGGGUGUGCUAUGCAUGCAGACCUCUGGAUGGCGCUGUUGGCACCCCUGUGGACGGUAGAGUAACGGUAGAGCACAGCUUCAGAAUUACAGGAAAUUGUUACUCAUGCUUUUGUGUUUUCCACUCUAAAUUAUUAUUGAUUGGAAAGAUUUUACUAAAACAUUUUGACACUCAACGAUACAGAUUCUAAAAACGGAAUUUCUGAUUGGAAAAUAUUACGUUAAACAAAUAAAUUUAGUGUCAGACCUAUAGUGAGAAAGCUAUGAACCCGCCAUAAAUGCUCUUCAGAAUCAGGACCAGAAUCUUUUAUUAUCAUUCUGCAGUGCACAAUGAAAUUCUUUCCAGCAACUCUCGUCCAACAAUAUAAAAAGGUAGAAUAAAAUAAAAUAAGAAUAAGGGGCGAUAUAAGGCAUAAAUACUGUAAAGUAGAGUGGGGUGAAUAUUGCACAUGAGUGGGUAUUCCACAUUAGAAUGGAUAUUGCACAUACAGCAUGAAUAUUGCAUACUCUUCACUCAUUUUUGAAAUUUCAAUAGUGUUUUAUCUUGAACUUGGUACCUACUUACCUGUCUCUGCAUGAUCUGGCCCGUGUUGAAUUGAUGCACUGUGCUUAGAUGUCUGGCCAGAGUGAAAAUUGACUUCAUGACUAAUACAGAUCAUUUCUUCCAAAAUAUGAUCCAUAUCUGUGCUUGUUGGAUUAGUGGACGUUGACUACUUAGACCAGAACUCACAGGUUGAAGUUGCUUCACUGUCCUGUAGUCUCAUCAGUUCUUUGUUGGGCAGCUGCUUCUCUCUCUGUCCCCUGUUGUCCCCAACUCUCUCUCUCUCUCUGGUGGCUCUGAGUCCGAGUGAAGCUGCGAAGACGGAUUCAGCUCAGAACCUCUGAUUACAAGAAAAUCGUUUUAAUACAAUACAGAGGGAACCACAUUUUUUCUUGUAUCUCUGACAGAAAUGUAUUAAUAUCGAUACCAAAAUCAGAAAAGGAAAAAAAGGGCAGGUGCUCAAUAUGAGUGCACGUGUCUGGUUCUACUGGUUCCAAGAACCAAAUGCAAGUUUUGGUGAUGAGCGUGUGUUUGCUGUGCUGGCUUCUAAACAUUGACUGUAAAUACCAACUGGACAUGUCGACCCCUCCCCCAUCGUGUUCCAAAUAGGAAGUACCUGCUGGCUUUAAGAAGCUAAAAUCAAUGGCUCAGAUCGACUAAAUCACGGUCACGGUUGUGAAAAAAUGGCAACUUAAUUGGCUUCAUUUGUCUGGAAUCGGUACCGUCGAUCUACGGUCUAUGCUUCUAAACUUUGAACUUCCACUAAAGAAGCCUUAAUCCGCUAUACACUCGACAAUUACUCUCACGCACACUCACACAUGCACACCUGAGGACACUAAGAGUAACCAAUUAACCUAUAAAACGUGUUUUUGGACUGUGGAAGGAUGAGAAAACAAGUAUUUUUUUCAAUGGAAUUAUUGAAAUGAAAACACUUCCUUGUGAUUCUAAUUUUUGGAAAAGGUCUGGAUAUGCCUCAGACUUCAAGGGAAACGAUAGCUUCAGGUGUCCCCCUGGUGGCCUGAAGAGGUAAAACCAGUGGGAUAAAACCUGAUGCACUAAUUGUUGUAAAUCUCCCAAUUUUUUUUUUCAAAUAGCUCAUUUUUAAAAAUCUUAUGUUUUGAACACUUUUUUACAGAAAAUUUUGCAUUGAUUAAUCUAACCCCUAUACUCUGAAAAAUUUAGUACACAUUUUUUUAAAACACUCAUUGCUCUAUAUACUUGCCCACAAACAGUGCAACAUACAGUGGUGGACAAACUUGUUGGUACCCCUCAGUUAAAAAAAGAAAGUCCAAAAAUCUCAAUGAAAUGACUUUAAGCGCUCAAAAUUAACAAGUUAAAAUUUAUUGAAAAUCAAAUAAUCAAAAUCAGCCAUUACUUUUGAGUUGUUGAUUAACAGAAUUAUUUUAAAAAAACUAAUGAAAUAGGGCUGGACAAAAACGAUGGUACCCAUAACUUAUUAUUUUGUUACACAACCUUUUGAGCCAAUCACUGCAAUGAAACGGUUUCUGUAUUUGUCAAUGAGCCUUCUGCACCUGUCCACAGGUAUCUUGGCCCACUCCUCAUGAGCAAACUGUUCCAGUUGUCUCAGGUUUGACGGGUGUCUUCUCCAAAUGGCAUGUUUCAGCUCCUUGCACAGAUGUUCAAUGGGAA
Molecule: long non-coding RNA, 2483 nt
Filed under: Oryzias sinensis (Chinese medaka)
Lineage: Eukaryota; Metazoa; Chordata; Actinopteri; Beloniformes; Adrianichthyidae
Description: lncRNA (ENSOSIG00000010789.1)
Source: RNAcentral